GGGGGUAUAUCUCAUCUGGUAGAGCCCGCGCUUUGCACACGAGAUGUCGACUGCUCGUCUCCUCUAACCUCCU
Molecule: transfer RNA, 73 nt
Filed under: uncultured Synechococcus sp.
Lineage: Bacteria; Bacillati; Cyanobacteriota; Cyanophyceae; Synechococcales; Synechococcaceae
Description: tRNA-Ala
Source: RNAcentral